Molecule: long non-coding RNA, 721 nt
Filed under: Chloebia gouldiae (Gouldian finch)
Lineage: Eukaryota; Metazoa; Chordata; Aves; Passeriformes; Passeridae
Description: Erythrura gouldiae (Gouldian finch) lncRNA (ENSEGOG00005002850.1)
Source: RNAcentral
GCAGAUGUCAAAGCAUGCAGAUAUAGGCACUUGCCUUUAAAUACCCAGGGCUUUUUGUCCACCACACAUUUCAAGUUUUGCUCCAAAGGCUUGUUCUUUACUCAGUAUUUUGGGACUAUGCUGAAAAAGAUGACAAUCCUCUCAGCACUGCUGAUUCUGAUCUUGGCUGAUCAACUAAAGGCACAAGGUACCUCUGUUACCCCAGUGCUUGAGGCAACAAGCGUGGAGCAAAGCAGUGACCCUAGCACAGAACCAAGCACAGAGCUGCCCCCGGACUACAGUGGAGACUCACACAAGGAGAAUGGCACAGAGCAAGUUGGGAACAAUGGAGUACAAGAAGGUGAACAGACUUUUUGGGAGCUGAGUGGAGAGUCAAGUGCUGAGUCUACCCCUAAGCCUAGUGUGGAGCCAAGCCAAGAACCGACCCAGGAGUCACCCACUGAACUGUAUGAGUAAAUUGCAACAUUAAAACUUGAUGGAAAAGCAACACCCACUUACCUAUAGAGGUGAUUUCACCACCAAGAACACAUACAAGGUGCCUGUUGCAAGCCAGAUGGCAGAGCUAUUCCCAGAACAUCUUGCAGGAAAAGUGUAACCAUAGCCUUUUGUUCCAGAAUUCCAUCUAAUUCUUGCUUACUUUACCAGAUUAAUUAGAUAACAGAUGACCUGUGCUGUUUUGCUUCCAUAAUAACCUGAAAUAAAGAAUGUCAUCGCAAGUACA